CGGCCCCGGCUCCGGCCGGCGGAGCCCGCGGGCCGCGGAGCUGCGUGCAGCACCCCAGGCCCCCUCAGGUGUCGGGCGCGCAGGACGAGGGAGAGAUGUUUGUAAAGGAGAACGCAAAAAAUAGGUGGCAUCAGGACAGCGAUUCUUUUUUUUUUUUUUUUUUUUUCCUUUCGCGUACCAGCUGGACGGAAGCGCCUGUUGAGUUGGUCAAACUCUGCGAUAAUGAGGCGAAAAUAAAAAUGGAGGGCAGGCUGCACGUCCUCCGGGAGCAGGGGCUGUGUGGGCAGAGCGGCGGGACUGGGUGUGCUGGGGAGCCCUGUCACACUCAGCCUGAGCUGCUGCUAUCUCUGCACCGGCGACACCCCAAAACACCUGCAGCUGCUUCCCUGCUCCCGUGGCUUAGGCUGACUGCCACAGAGAGUGAUUACACAUAUUGAGAAUAAAAGACGUCUCUUGGGCUUGCAGUGGUUGCAGUGCGUCUGACACACAGCUUUCUGCUGAAAAGGUUGGUUGGGAGGAAUCUUGCCCUUCUUCCGGGUUAAUAACAGCUACAGAACUCUUUCCAAGCUUAGUGGUUUCAUCCUUUUCCUCGUGCCUUUCUUAAAGUGUUUUCUGUCAGAGUGUUCAUGACAGGCACCUUAGUGUAACCUUAAUAAACCUUGUAAUUGAGUGGUCUUA
This is a long non-coding RNA of Parus major (Great Tit), 678 nucleotides long. RefSeq lists it as uncharacterized. The record is from RefSeq and is a predicted model, not a curated record. NCBI's taxonomy places the organism in Eukaryota, Metazoa, Chordata, Aves, Passeriformes, Paridae. The transcript is spliced from 2 exons.